Molecule: long non-coding RNA, 2029 nt
Filed under: Jatropha curcas
Lineage: Eukaryota; Viridiplantae; Streptophyta; Magnoliopsida; Malpighiales; Euphorbiaceae
Description: long non-coding RNA (JCUR_LNC003352)
Source: RNAcentral
UCUCCGCCGUCCGAUUUCUACCUCCACCGAUCCCCUCAUUAUCGAGACUUCCGUUCCUUUCACUCCUCACAAAUGCGAGCCUCCUUCUCGCUCCGUGGAGACAACUCCUAAAGAGCUUCUCUCCUUCUUUCGCGACAUGGCUACGAUGCGCCGGAUGGAGAUCGCUGCUGAUUCUCUUUACAAGGCUAAGCUUAUCCGUGGAUUUUGCCACCUCUACGACGGGCAGGAAGCGGUGGCCGUUGGGAUGGAAGCUGCUAUUACUAAAAGGGAUUGUAUUAUAACGGCGUAUCGGGAUCACUGUACGUUUUUGGGUCGUGGUGGGACGCUUCUUCAGGUGUUCUCGGAGCUCAUGGGACGCCAGGCGGGGUGUUCGAAAGGGAAGGGUGGGUCAAUGCAUUUCUAUAAGAAGGAAGCCGGGUUUUAUGGAGGACACGGGAUUGUGGGAGCUCAGGUGCCACUAGGAUGUGGAUUGGCUUUCGCGCAGAAGUAUUCUAAAGACGAAACGGUGACGUUUGCUCUGUAUGGAGAUGGUGCGGCCAAUCAGGGACAGUUGUUUGAGGCGCUUAAUAUUUCUGCUCUUUGGGAUCUUCCUGCUAUUUUGGUCUGCGAGAACAAUCACUGUAAGGACUGGAAUGUUUAUCCCUUUUUUCAAUUUUUUGAGGUUUUAAUGUUUAAUCGAUUUCAAUUGGAUGCUGUAUGGUUAGAUGGUAUGGGGACUGCAGAGUGGAGAGCCGCCAAGAGUCCCGCUUACUACAAGCGAGGAGAUUACGUCCCUGGCUUGAAGGUUAGAUUGAACUUGAACUCCUUUUUGGAUUAAAUUGAAAUAUGUUUUUCUUUUUGUCUCUAUAAAAAUAACCAACUGCUUGAUUAUUCAAAUACUUCAUGAUUAGCUAAAGUUGCAAUUAGCAAGCUCGCCAACCAGCCUUGAGGGUUACUUUUGAACAACAACAACAUAUGCAUGUCUUGUAAAUCUUACAUGUAAUGAUGAUGUUAAGUGGGUUUUUAAAGUCAAUAUCGGUUUUGGAAAGUGCCUACCUGCUUGAUUGAAGUUUGUUCAUUGCCUCGGCAACUUAUAAGAAUAACCUUGCUCGGUCAAUUUUAUACAGUAGUCGCAGAACUAUGCAAGCAAAGUUUUUCUCAUUUAGGCCAUGAAGAUUUUGGAAGAUUAUUUGCCACAAACUGUUCUGGGUCAUUUGCAAAGAUAGAGAUGACAUAAUUUUAAAGCAGGGAUUAUGACUUAUACUAAUUAAAAGGCAAGAAAUUUUGUUGCUUUGAUUGUUGCUCUGCAUGAAGUAACCUCCUCAUGAUGAACUUCUCAUCUAUGGCACCUUAGUGCAGAAACAGGUUUCCUUGUGCUAGCGUCUAUCUUCCAAUCUUUAUGCAAUAUCAAAUUUGGUCCUAAAGUGGUAGGUAGCAGUAGCAUCUGCUCUGUUUUCAAAGUUGAUUUGUUUUUACAACUAAAAUCUGUUUUAAGGAGUUGUUUCUAGUGAGAUAUCUAGGUACUUUUCUCACAUCUUAUAUAAGCUGUUCAUUCAAUAUGUAUUUGACCUUGAUCAAAGUUUACGGAAAUCAGAGGCCAGUAGUUGAACCGUCUGCUAUGUUUGUUGUAAAUUGCUCCACCGAUCCCCUCAUUAUCGAGACUUCCGUUCCUUUCACUCCUCACAAAUGCGAGCCUCCUUCUCGCUCCGUGGAGACAACUCCUAAAGAGCUUCUCUCCUUCUUUCGCGACAUGGCUACGAUGCGCCGGAUGGAGAUCGCUGCUGAUUCUCUUUACAAGGCUAAGCUUAUCCGUGGAUUUUGCCACCUCUACGACGGGCAGGAAGCGGUGGCCGUUGGGAUGGAAGCUGCUAUUACUAAAAGGGAUUGUAUUAUAACGGCGUAUCGGGAUCACUGUACGUUUUUGGGUCGUGGUGGGACGCUUCUUCAGGUGUUCUCGGAGCUCAUGGGACGCCAGGCGGGGUGUUCGAAAGGGAAGGGUGGGUCAAUGCAUUUCUAUAAGAAGGAAGCCGGGUUUUAUGGAGGACACGGG